This 75-nucleotide transfer RNA is filed under the name Marmota monax (woodchuck). RNAcentral describes it as "tRNA.Ala". It matches the Rfam family "tRNA". Rfam says of the family: Transfer RNA (tRNA) molecules are approximately 80 nucleotides in length. Their secondary structure includes four short double-helical elements and three loops (D, anti-codon, and T loops). Further hydrogen bonds mediate the characteristic L-shaped molecular structure. tRNAs have two regions of fundamental functional importance: the anti-codon, which is responsible for specific mRNA codon recognition, and the 3' end, to which the tRNAs corresponding amino acid is attached (by aminoacyl-tRNA synthetases). tRNAs cope with the degeneracy of the genetic code in two manners: having more than one tRNA (with a specific anti-codon) for a particular amino acid; and 'wobble' base-pairing, i.e. permitting non-standard base-pairing at the 3rd anti-codon position. Lineage: Eukaryota; Metazoa; Chordata; Mammalia; Rodentia; Sciuridae. The record is from RNAcentral.
CCAUGGUUGUGGCUCAGUGGUAGAGCACUUGCCUAGCAUGCGUGAGGCACUGGAUUCGAUCCCUGGUACCAUGUU